Molecule: long non-coding RNA, 651 nt
Organism: Oncorhynchus gorbuscha (pink salmon)
Lineage: Eukaryota; Metazoa; Chordata; Actinopteri; Salmoniformes; Salmonidae
Exons: 4
Source: RefSeq, a predicted model, not a curated record
GAAUCCCCUUCACACGUGCAGACAAAGAGCGCCAACAACACAACCCAAAUAUGCACUUUUAAACUUUUCCAAACGAAACGGACGACUUCCACGAACAUAGGAAAUGCAACGAACGCAACAAGGAAUAAAGGCGGAUGAAGUCCUGGUGGUUUAGGGAGUGUGGGGCAUUGAGCAACAGGUAUAAGACACAGCACAGUGGGUUGAAACCUGUUUAAUUGGAAAAGCUUUUCUUUUUCGGGAGGCCUGAAUUGGGAAAAAGUACCUUGGAGCCGUACCUUUACAACAGGAUUUUAGCUGCAGGACCUCUGAAUAACCACCUACACUGUGGCGGAUUGACCCGCGACCUGUACCGGACUCAUGGAAUCAGAAUUGGAUUAUAUCUUCCGGCGCACAUCACAACAAAGGCGUUCCAAAUUGGAUAGGCGUCUCAUCGGACCCUCAAGGACAACACGGAGACUAACCCUAGGUCAGCAGAAGGUCAAGCCCUGCCCGAAGUUAGAGGUCAGGGGUUAAAGGUCAUGUCCUGUUGACCCUGCGUGUGAGAUAAGCGGGCGAGGCUGGGAGCAGUGAGCCCCUUGUGGACGGACCUGGCUGUGGACCACGGUUGUUAUUGGCAGCUUGUCAGGCUGAGCAGAGCUGGACAGCAGGAGG